RNAcentral lists this transfer RNA (76 nucleotides) under Pigmentiphaga aceris. RNAcentral describes it as "tRNA-Asn". It matches the Rfam family "tRNA". Rfam says of the family: Transfer RNA (tRNA) molecules are approximately 80 nucleotides in length. Their secondary structure includes four short double-helical elements and three loops (D, anti-codon, and T loops). Further hydrogen bonds mediate the characteristic L-shaped molecular structure. tRNAs have two regions of fundamental functional importance: the anti-codon, which is responsible for specific mRNA codon recognition, and the 3' end, to which the tRNAs corresponding amino acid is attached (by aminoacyl-tRNA synthetases). tRNAs cope with the degeneracy of the genetic code in two manners: having more than one tRNA (with a specific anti-codon) for a particular amino acid; and 'wobble' base-pairing, i.e. permitting non-standard base-pairing at the 3rd anti-codon position. The record is from RNAcentral. Lineage: Bacteria; Pseudomonadati; Pseudomonadota; Betaproteobacteria; Burkholderiales; Alcaligenaceae.
UCCCUGAUAGCUCAGUUGGUAGAGCGACGGACUGUUAAUCCGCAGGUCACUGGUUCGAGUCCAGUUCGGGGAGCCA